Long non-coding RNA from Helianthus annuus (common sunflower), 748 nucleotides. RefSeq lists it as uncharacterized. The transcript has 2 exons. The record is from RefSeq and is a predicted model, not a curated record. NCBI's taxonomy places the organism in Eukaryota, Viridiplantae, Streptophyta, Magnoliopsida, Asterales, Asteraceae.
AUUUACUAUUGAAAGAAAAAAAAACCAGAAUGGUCAUAUUUAAGUUUCUUUCCGAUCUGCCAAGCAGUCAAGCAGGAGCGAUAAAGUCGAUGGAUCCAAUAACACAACAAACCAAGGUUUAGCACCACCAGGCAAGCCAUCGCCAUUUCGCUUGAAGAACCAUCACAGAAACGGAAAACGUCAAAUCUCCACAACAACACAUCAACACCUCCGCCACCGUGGUCGAAGUGUGAAACGCGAGAGAAACCGUCGCCGGUGUUGUUUUCUCCGAUCCACAACGGUCCGUUGACUAGAGCGAGGUUACAGCCUAAUAUCGUCAAUACGUCGACGUUUUGGGAGGCGGUGGUAGCGGUGAAAACAAUUUCGGAAUGAAGAAUGAAAAACCCUAUGUCGAUUCCGUGAUUAUUAAUUUCGUUUCUGGAUUGCCGGAUAUUUCCCAAUACACAAAAACAGGGCAGUCCUAGUUUGAUCUAAAGUUCAAAAGAAAAUUGCAGAAAAAUUGAUAGUGUACCCGGAUUUGAUGAACGACAAUUAUCUGAAUCCAAGCCGGUAGAUUCCCUGAUGAAUAGAGCGUUCGUGCUGAUAACGUGUUAAGAACCAAAGAGAAAUAAAGAUAAACUGAAUUUUUCUCUUUCAUUCGAUUCAACAUUACAAUAUAUAGAUAAACACAAGUGUAAACCCUAAAACCCAUAAGUAUUGGGUUGGGCCUAAAAUGUCUGAUUUAUAACAGUAACCGUCUUUUCAGUUA